RNAcentral lists this ribosomal RNA (253 nucleotides) under uncultured bacterium. RNAcentral's name for it is "partial 16S ribosomal RNA". It matches the Rfam family "Bacterial small subunit ribosomal RNA", at positions 524 to 776 of the family's 1533-position model. The record is from RNAcentral.
UACGUAGGUGGCAAGCGUUGUCCGGAUUUAUUGGGUUUAAAGGGUGCGUAGGCGGCUUUGUAAGUCAGUGGUGAAAUAUGGCAGCUUAACUGUCAAGGUGCCAUUGAUACUGCGGAGCUUGAGUACAGAUGAGGUAGGCGGAAUUGACGGUGUAGCGGUGAAAUGCUUAGAUAUCGGCAAGAACACCUAUAGCGAAGGCAGCUUACUAGGCUGUAACUGACGCUGAGGCACGAAAGUGUGGGGAUCAAACAGG